Molecule: non-coding RNA, 888 nt
Organism: Microcebus murinus (gray mouse lemur)
Lineage: Eukaryota; Metazoa; Chordata; Mammalia; Primates; Cheirogaleidae
Source: RefSeq, a predicted model, not a curated record
GGCAGCAUCGAGUCCGCUUCGUUUUGGUCCCUAACAGCUUUGGGCGCUGUUUAUAUUUCCUUGUUCCUUUUCCCCAAGUUUGAGGACGACCGACUCUUGCUAGGUUUUGACAGUGGCGGAUUCCUAGCCUUCUGCUCCCGCUAGCCCGAGCUGACGUCCCGCAGGCCCACGCGGGGCCCAGGGGCGACAGGGCCCGCUCCCGCGCUGCCCACAUUUCCUCCAUUGUUUGAAAAGUGCCCUUUUUUUUUACAGUUGGCUCAUUGACUGGGGGUCCCCGCGCCGUGCAGUGCGCCCGUGGCUGUCCGUCUCUGGGGUCCUGCUCAGCAGCGGUCCCUGCUCCCCUCUGACCGGGUCUCUGUGGCUGUCCCUCUCUGGGGUCCUGUUAGUCAGGUCCAGAGAGAGGAGGGCGGCCUGCCUCAGGCAGGUGUGAUCACCAGAGGGUAGGAAGCAGUUGAGGGAGUGAGCGACCCGUGGGCCGAAGCCUUUACUGGGGCCCAGGCAUUGUCCAGGGUGGUUUCCUGUGGGGAGUUCUGAUUAGUGGGCAUAGUGCCAGCAGGCACCAGACCCGUGGAAUCUUGCUGGGACUGAGAAGUGGUCACAGUGGCACGUGUGCAGCCCACAUGAGGAUGGGGGUCAGUGGGUAGAACCUCCACAGAUACCUGCUGGCACUGUCUGUGGCUCCGCCUCAAGGUUUCAUCCAGAGAUGAAGAAAAACAAUGACAACAACUGUGUCUCUGUGGAGGAUUUAGCAGCUACUACAAAAUACAGAGGCUUCUUUCCUAAGCGAACACACGGCUCCGCUUUGUGAGGCCAACAGCACGGGCAUCUCUCGGGCAGCCGCGUCCUCCAUGCUCUGCGCAGUGAGAUGUCACCGUUCAGUGUUUAAAA